GAUGAACGCUGGCGGCGUGCCUAACACAUGCAAGUCGAACGGAGAUUACGGACGGAAGUUUUCGGAUGGAAGCCUGUAAUUCUUAGUGGCGGACGGGUGAGUAACGCGUGGGCAACCUGCCCUAUACAGGGGGAUAGCAGCUGGAAACGGCUGGUAAGACCGCAUAAGUCGGUUAAAUCGCAUGAUUUGAUCGGGAAAUGAGCAAUCAGGUAUAGGAUGGGCCCGCGUCCGAUUAGCCAGUUGGCAGGGUAAAAGCCUACCAAAGCGACGAUCGGUAGCCGGACUGAGAGGUCGGACGGCCACAUUGGGACUGAGACACGGCCCAAACUCCUACGGGAGGCAGCAGUGGGGGAUAUUGCACAAUGGAGGAAACUCUGAUGCAGCGACGCCGCGUGAGUGAAGAAGUAUUUCUGUAUGUAAAGCUCUAUCAGCAGGGAAGAUGAUGACGGUACCUGACUAAGAAGCCCCGGCUAACUACGUG
This 481-nucleotide ribosomal RNA is filed under the name uncultured bacterium. RNAcentral's name for it is "partial 16S ribosomal RNA". It matches the Rfam family "Bacterial small subunit ribosomal RNA", at positions 28 to 507 of the family's 1533-position model. The record is from RNAcentral.